This 440-nucleotide ribosomal RNA is filed under the name uncultured bacterium. RNAcentral describes it as "partial 16S ribosomal RNA". It matches the Rfam family "Bacterial small subunit ribosomal RNA", at positions 338 to 795 of the family's 1533-position model. The record is from RNAcentral.
CCUACGGGAGACAGCAGUGGGGAAUAUUGCACAAUGGGGGAAACCCUGAUGCAGCGACGCCGCGUGAGUGAAGAAGGAUUUCGGUAUGUAAAGCUCUAUCAGCCGGGAAGAAAAUGACGGUACCUGAUUAAGAAGCCCCGGCUAACUACGUGCCAGCAGCCGCGGUAAUACGUAGGGGGCAAGCGUUAUCCGGAUUUACUGGGUGUAAAGGGAGCGUAGACGGCAGAACAAGUCUGGUGUGAAAUGCCGGGGCUUAACCCCGGAACUGCUUUUGAAACUGUGCAGCUAGAGUGCAGGAGAGGUAUGUGGAAUGCGUGGUGUAGCGGUGAAAUGCGUAGAUAUUAGGAGGAACACCAGUGGCGAAGGCGGCUUACUGGACUGUAACUGACGUUGAGGCUCGAAAGCGUGGGGAGCGAACAGGAUUAGAUACCCCGGUAGUC